RNAcentral lists this long non-coding RNA (20481 nucleotides) under Triticum aestivum (bread wheat). RNAcentral's name for it is "long non-coding RNA (TAES_LNC027339)". Lineage: Eukaryota; Viridiplantae; Streptophyta; Magnoliopsida; Poales; Poaceae. The record is from RNAcentral.
UCCACCUCCUCCUAGUUAGGUUUAGCAUUGGAUUAGCUCAUAUUUGUGUGAGAUCCUUUGCUCAUCCACUUGGAUACUUCUCCUCGGAGUUCACGACCUCUUCGGAGAAGAUCCCCCAAGCGGAUUCAAGACCCCUUUCUAGGGAAGAACAUCAAGGCCUCCUCGCGGAGAAGACGGUUCCUUUGUAUCCUUACCUUUGUUGAUCUUGAACCUUGUGCUACCUUAUGUGUGUGAUGACCUAGCACUUGUGCGAUUGAUUCCUUGUCGGUUUAGUGAUUCUCUCUCAUUUUCCCCGUGUUUCCCCUUUGUGCUUCCGCGUGUUCUUCGUGAUUCCCCGUAGGAUCCGCUCCAAACGUGAAAGAUCGACGCUAUAGGGUUCCACCCUACAUCAUCUUGGUAUCAUGAGCCACGUUGAUCACGUUUUUGGAGCCCCUACCCUUUGUUUUCUAGCUUGAUUUUGUUGAUUUCGUCCUAAAUCCGAAAAUCCCCACCAAAAAUAGCCCCAAUUUUUUUUUGUGAUUUGUUGCUUUGAUGAUGUUUUGUUGAUUUUGAUGCAUGGAUUUGCUUGGUUUCAAGUGGAUCUAGCAUUCCCCCAAGUUUCCCCUUUUCUCAUCCACGAAAUCCAUCCAAUUUUGGCCCCGAAAUCAUCCAUUUCCGCCCCAAAAUCGCGACCCGAGUCGAUCUGCGAAAAAUCCCGAAAUGAGCAGUACUUCCGCCCCUCCGAGCGGUACUACCGCUGAGUACCUCGAGCGGUACAACCGCCCUCACAAGCGGUACUACCGCCCCUCCCAGUUUUAGCGUUCCGAGUUUCACCGUUUUGCCCAUAACUAAUUUAUCCGGAGUCCGUUUUUGACGUUCUUUAGCUUGUUUUGAAGCUAUUGACAUCCCCCAUCCCACAAAAAUACCACCAACAUCAUUUGACUCCAUAAAAUUUUCUAAAAUUUGGCAAGUUUGCCUAGGCCUUCCACCAUAUCAUCCGCAUAGCCACCAUCGACUUCCGCAACCUAACCCAUUUUCAUCCCCAUAGCAUUUGUGGUUGCUUGAGGAGUGAUUAGAGUCUCCUAAGGUGUUUCGGCUACUUAGGGACAAUUGCUUCUUCAUCAACCACCUCCUCCACUUCCGCAUUUGCCUAGUGCAAAACCACCACCGAUUUCCGCUACCACCAUUUGACAUUUGUCAUUUGAGAUUUUGAGUUCGCGGUUUUUGCGUUUCCUAAGGUGUUUCGGCUACUUAGGGACGAGUUCCAUCAUCUUGGUAUCUACAUCAUGAACACCGCGAAUCAUCAUCACAAAGGACGGUAACCUCGACGACUCCAUUGUAUAUUCCCCUUGCAAAUUGCAUUGAUAACCCCUAGCCCAUUUUGCGUUACUUGCCUAUCGAGACUAGCCAUUUGGGUAUUUCCGGCAACGUUACUUGUGCACAUUAGUGAUCUACACCAUCCAGUGCAUACAUACCAUAUCAUCUUGGUAUCAUAUCAUCCAUUGUGUCUCAAGUUUGUUCCCGCAUAUACACAAUUGCUAUUUUGGUUUGUACAUUGUGCAAAAGUGGCCAUAGAAAAAAAAUAUGUAAUAAUAAAGCUUUUAAGCAAAAGAGAAAGAGCAAAGAAGCUUGUAAGCAAGUGCCAUAGCAUCAUACCACAUUGCAUAAGAUUGCCAUAUCCGAUCAUCUUGGAUCAUGUUGAGAGAAAUACCGGGAACCAUACAUACAUAGCAUACUUGGGAUAGAAAGUUUAUCCAUUUUGCAUCUUAUAGGUUGUGCACAAGUGUCGUAUCCGCCUAUUAAGCAAUCGUGCUAGCGUCUCUCUUGAGUUGUGCAACACGAUCCUUUUUCGUGGGUUCCACAUUUUGUGCUCAUUCCUUGGUUGCAUGACCCCAUUUAUCUAUCCGUGUGUGUGUUUCUGUGUGCCAUUCUUUGCUAUUGGUCUACUUGUUUCGCUUGCGAAUUUGUGAAUCUCUUUCAACAUUAUUGACUCUUGCUAACAUUUUGCAUUAAAUUUUUGUGCCACUAUCCUCACCGAGCUCCACCAUAAGCUUUACUUGUGUAGGUGUGAGAACCGACAAGAAUUGGUACCAAUAGUGCUAUUUCAUUGUCCGCAUUUGAGUGAACUUGAUUCAUUGUCAACAUCGGUCAAGGUACAUUGGUAUAAGUUCUUCUCUUUCUCCCACUCAUAUUUGCUCGAGUCUUGUGAUGGAUAGGCAAGGCAUUUCCUCUUCGGUCCUCGACAAAAACGACGGCGUGAACAACUACAUCAUCAAAGCGUCUAUCUUCGAUCUACAACGACAAGUGCAAGGCACACAAUCAAGAUUGCGAGAGCGCAUCGAGAACAUCUCCAUCGACAUUCAUCACUCUGAAGCAAGGAGAAGGGACUACAUUGACAAGAAGUUUGCCGCACAUAAAGAGGAGCAAGAUGCAAGGAUGGAGGAGAUUCGGACCUCGCUCAAGUCUACUUCCCCUUCAUCAUCUUCAAGGCGGCGACAUUCAAGCCACAAGUCUUCGGAGCGCAAACAAGAUGCAAGCACAAGUCGUCCAAGUCAACAUCUACAUGGUGACCACCAUCACGUUCGUGAUCAAUAUCGUCAUGAAGGGCAAGUCACCUCCAAGCAUCAUGUGCACGACGAUGAUGAACGCCAAGGAGCUCAAGCACGACAACGACAUCAUCAUCAUCAUGAAGAUGCUCCACAAGCGCAAAUGCACAAGUCCCAGCAACCCCUACUUCACGCCAAGUCGAAGCUUCAUAAGCAAAAGAGAAGACCGCGAGACGAGCACCACCAAGACGGCGCUACGGCUACAACAACCACUUCGGCAUCUUCACCAAGUGCUAUCAAGGCAUCUUCGCCUUUGGACAUACGGCAUCUUCACCUACUUCACAUGUGUACGCCUACAUCGACUUCAUCAAGUCCAAGGCGACCACCUACUAGCGAGGGCGACACUUCCAUCUUCGGAAGCCCCCCAAGGAAGAUGGCCGAGCAUGGGAAAUUCCCUUCGGUCAUGGAGACGAGCUACGAGGUGCCACAUCAUAUGGGCCUCCAACACCAAGACGGUGACAAGACGGUCGAGCAAGGGCCAUCCCCUUCGACCAUGGCGACGAGCGCAAACCUCUUCAACAACAUGAAGACGGCGCCCACAUUGGACUCCUCAUCUGAGUCAAGCUAUGCGACCGCGCAUGGAGACUCUUACACCUACACCUCUCCGACACCCACAUAUGUUGAGAUGUCCCAUUUGUCAUGUGAGGAGAGCCACCACCCCAUGAGUGACAUGAGUGACUCCACCAUACGUGACAUUGAGAGCAUUUCCUAUGAGAGGAUGAGUGUGACCACCACUAGCCCCACACAUGAGAGCAUGCCACACAUCCUAUGUGAGGUUGAGCGCCAUUCGAGUGACUCCACCAACCAUAUGAGUGAGAGCAUCCUUGAGAUAGUGAGUGAGCCACAACACAUAGUGAGUGAGGUAGUUGAGACGGCAUGUGAGGCCACUAUGGUUUCUAACGACUUAACCUCUACUCCUAGUGUGUUUUCUUCUUUGUUGCUAGGUCUCCUACAUGACGACAUGCCUACCCUCGAUGAGUCCAUACCUCCAACGAACAAACCGAUGGCCAUGGUGGACGAUGAUGCACCCCCACAUGGUUCCAUCAAUAUGAAGAUGACAACGAGACGAUCUUCAACACCUCACCUACAACACAUGAGCGACGCUCCAAAGGUAACAUAGGUGAUGGUGCUUCUCUUGUCCCACUAGUGGACUCUCUUGACAUUGAUUGCUCCCAUGAUGUUGAUCCACCUAUUCCCAUGCUUCAUGCUAGUGAGACUUCUUCAUGCCUUGACUUACCUAUUUAUGAUGAAUAUGAUGAUGAGCAUGUUGAGUUGCCUAGUUGUGAUGCUAUGCUCCAUAGGAUAUCAUGUGAAAAUUCUUUUGGUCACAUCAUGUUUGACAAUCCAUUGAACUUGUCAUAUGCUAUGAGUGAGAUCUCCCAUAUUGCAUCAUUACAAUCUCAACAUAGUAACUAUGCAUGUCCCAUUAAAAUCAAUCCCAUUUGCAUUUAUGGCAUAGAUGACGAGAUGAUGGUCAUUGGCUUUUGUUUUUCAUGUGAUGAUAUUGCCAUGCUUCGUUUAAAUGAUUUGCUCAAUUCAUCUACUAUGCCAUGCCAUGAUCACAUUGUUCCAAAUAUGCUUUGUUUUGGAUGUUGUCAAUAUUCUCCAUGUGAUGUUGCUACUCAUGCUCAUGAGGAGACCCUCAUAGUUUCCUCAUACACAUUAGGAGAUUUUGAUGCAUUCCAUACUUUACAAGAUUCACAUAAUUGCUUGCACCAUAUGCACUCCAUGAAUAACAAUGCUCUAGAUAUUUCUCAUGAUGCAUUACAUCCUUUGAGUCUCCAUUAUGUCAUACAUAAUAACAAACCCAUCAUGAUGGAUGACAUGUUUUUAUAUCACGCAUCUCAUUUAUUUGAGCAUUGGCUAUUUAGUACUAACCAACACAUGCACGUGCACAUCAUGAUGGAUGAUGUGUACAUAUACCAUGCACACACAAUUUUCUCUUUGUCUUUGUUUUGUGUAGGUACUUAUGAACACUCUUCAACCUCACAAUCCCAUGAGUUGACGAAAAGAGCUCUUGAGAGCAACGACGACUUGGGAUCCCGUGGACUAUCCUUACCACCGUUCCCUUCGCGCAAGGACUACGCGCGUCUCUUUUACUUGGCUCUCACACGGCUAUGGGCCAUUUACAACUUGUCACCUUAUGCUCAUUUUACCGUGUUCACUUUGCAUGUUAUACUUGCUUCUAUGGCUUUGCCAUACAAUUGUGACCCAUGCUUGCAUCUACCCAUGAUUGACCCUAUGUGUAUUUGCAUGCUUGGUGGAGAUCUUUGUUUCUAUUGCCAUGUUUAUCAUGUGCUCCAUGCUUUCGAUGCUUGUUGUGUUGGGAGAGUCAUGAUGCCCCAUUGCUAUUUACAUAUGGUCUCUUGCCAAUACAUUGAUGAUAUUUUUCUCAUAUUCUUGCUUUCAUGCUUGUGCUAUGUCAUGUCCAUUAUGCAUGCCCACUAUUUGAACACAUGACAUGCUUGCCAUGAUUCCUUCUAGUAUGUUGCAUCUUCGCACUACUAGCUUGCUUGACUUGAUUGAUAUGAUUGCUUGCUAUGUUGCAUCCCCCAUGUUCCACUAUUACUUGCUUUCUUGGGUUGAUGACAUAUAUGCUCAUGCCUCUCACAUGAUAUAUCUUGAUCAUUGUAUCUUGUGUCCAUUAGUUGCCUCUUUCAUAUCCACUUGUAUUGAGUGCAACCAUACUAUGCUUAUUGAUCUUGGAGACUUUGACAUAUUACUUGUGAUGCAUGCUUGUUUGAUUGAGCCUAUUGCAUUUGGUUGUUCUUGCAUCAUAUGCCUCCAUACUAUGAAAUACUCCCUUGUACUUUCUUAUGAUGAGCAUGAUGCAUACACUUGUUGGGUAUCUUACCACACGAAUGAUAGGUUUUGCACUUCCGCUAACCUCAUUUGUUUUUCCGAGUGUUUGUCAUGUUCUUUCAUUUUGAAGGAUUCACAAGGCGGUGCCGUUAUGCGACAUAUUGGGUAUGUGAAGACAUACAUGAUGUACGACUCCAACAUCUUUGGGAACUUUCUUGAGGUGAACUCCUUCCCUUUGAGCCAUCCUCAAAUACGCAUAUUGGAUGGGUCAUUCUUUCAUUGUUGUUUCCUUCUUGUUGUCUACAUGCUACAUCUCAGGAACAGAGGAGCGACAUUGGAGAUUGGCUACAUGGACCUUAAAUUUGAGGAGCGCUCGCACUUAUUGGAUGAACCUUCGGUCUUCCACUCAUGCCCCGACAUCGAGCUUUGGUACACCAACACCUCCAUAUUUGUUGAUUGUGCUCAUACAUGUCAUGCUCGAUGGACAUAUCAUACUCACCACAAGUUUGCAACCUAUGCAUGGAUUGACUCACAUUAUGAUUACCUUGUUGCAUCUUGUAUUCCCAUGUCAUCCGUGAUAUAUGAACUUGUGCACUUCCUUAGCAAAUUUGUUGUGAUCUACCUUGAUGUCAUAUUCAUACAUCAUAAUCAUAUUGUCCACCAUCAAUUGCAUGAUAAUAUCCACAUGUUGAGCAUCCAUUGCCAUGUUCAUGCAUUUGAUAAACCAUCCUGUCGGUGUACUAGAGUAGGGGUACCCUAGUAUCCCGAACUUGUGCACGGGCAGUUGCAGCACCCCGCGGCAAGGCUUGCCGGGCGACCGCCAAGGUCCUCCGCGGUUCCCUUGGAGCCAUUCAAGAACAAAGUAUUUAAGCCAAGGAGACAAGGCCCCGGCAAGAGGAGCUUGCCGGGAAGGCCAACCAAGGCAUUUCGAGGAACUUGCCGCAACGCGCCACGCGUCCCGGCAAGGCCCGGUGAGCGACAAGCUUCCGGACGCGACAAGACAACAGCCGCGGCAGGCUACCACUCUGUACCCACGCUCCAGCACAUCCACCAACGUGUCGCUCUGGGGGCCUUUCCAGGCGCGCAUGGCGGGAGGCUGUGCAGCCAGCGGUGCGCGGUGGCAUGCGAAGCUGACAAGACUGCCAUCGUGGCGAGCGGUGGCGCCCCUGACGGUCCCUUUUUACACUGUUUGGGCGACGUAGACGGGCAUUUAAUGCCUUUGUCCCCUGCCGUCAGGGUUAGGUAGGAUGCACUGUGCAGGUGGUUGUACCAACCGCAACCCCUUUUCCAUUUUUACCCUUCUCUGCGUUGCCACCUGUCGGUGACCCCUUGAACAUAUAAAAGGAGGCCCAUGCGCAACGUAGGGGGGUUCGCUUCAGUCGGGAACCAGAGAACACUCACGCUCGGUCUCGUGUGUACUGUAGCACUCAGCGCACCCGAGCAAGAACUCAAUACGAUCAUACAAGCAGCAGUAGGAGUAUUAUCUCUCUGGAGAGCUCCAAAGCUGGGUAAACUGCUCGUGUGCUUCGCCUCGAUCCGCUCUUCGUGCGAUCUCCGCCCUCCCGCCGAACCGAAAGGGGCUCGGUCCACCGGCCCCAUAGGUGUUCGUGGAUCAGCUUCCCCGACAUCUUUGGCGCGCCAGGUAGGGGGGCGUCGAGGUUGUGUGAACCUGAUCCGGCGUUCACAUGAGCCAGAUCUCCAUUUUCUUCAUUGACAUGCCACCGAAGAAGAAAACUUCGGCGGCAGCUGCUCCGUCCACGUCACUUCCACCACCACUGGAGCAAAUGGGUGGUGGAGUAGACGCCGGCGGAAGAACGGAUGUAGACGAGGAAGCUCACAACGCUGCCAGGUCCAAGGACAAGGCUGCACAAACCUUGGCGUGCGUACAUGUAUCGCACCCAUCUCAGGAGGCGCAGGAGCGACAGCGUCAUGGUACUCGCAGUACCAUACGUUUGUUGGGCCAAGAUCGAGCUGGUGGAUCUCGGGGUGCUCAAGACCAGCAUGCACGCCAACAUGCUGGCACGAGCGAGGCACAGUCGCCUGGACGGGAUACUGCUCCUUCUAACAUAGUUAGAAGUCCGAGCAUAUCCCGCUCCUCGCACCGUUCGCCACUGCCGCCCACCACUCCAGCAGAAUCUUUGGCGCGAGCUCAACUGCUCCUGGAUUACCCUCCAGCGGAAGACAAGAUCGACCAAUGGAGGGCCACCAUUCAGAGUCUCAUCGGCUUUGCCAACGGCGACACUCCGCGGCAGCCAAGUGAUCGCGGCCGCGGCAGGACUGCCAGGCAUGAGCCGGUGGCGACGAAACCGGUGGGGGUGCAACCACCAUGCACUCUCCAUCCCGAAGGCCAAGAUCGCCGACUCGUCGGAUCCACCUCGACAGCGACUCCACCGCAUCGUCAGAUCCACGAGCUCGUCGCGAUCAGCGCCAAGUUCUUCACGAACGACAACAAGAAGACGCUCGUACUCGCAUCGAGCGCCGAAGAGAAGCGCGAUGUCAAUCCGACAAGCGCGCUGGACCCUCUGUUGACAUGCAUGCGCCAGGGGAACCAGGUGACUUGCCGUACGCGGUAGGUUGCCCUGCGUUCACUCGUGAGCUGCGGCAAGUCCAGUGGCCCAGCAUGAAGAAUUUCAAGCCAGAUGUACCAGAGAAGUACGACGGCAAGUCGCAUCUGUCGGAGUUCCUCAGCAUCUACACCAUCGCGGUGCAAGCUGCUGGGGGGCGGGACGACAAGAUCCUUGCCAACUACUUCCCGCUGGUGCUCAAGCCCAAUGUUAGAUCCUGGCUCAUGCACUUGCCGGACAACUCUAUAUCCUCCUGGGCUGACCUGUGCCAUCAGUUUGUCGGCGCCUUUACAGGCGGCCACAAGCCUCAUGGCCAGGAGAGCGACCUUCAUCUGCUCGCCCAGAAGGAAGGAGAGCCCCUGCGCAAGUACAUUCAGAGAUUCAGCCGCGUACAGCACAACAUCCCAGAUGUCCACCCUACCGCGGUGAUCAGCGCGUUCCAUCAGAACGUGCGGAACCGCAGGAUGCGGGAGGAGAUGGCGAUGUGCAAGAUCAGAGACGUCAGUGAGCUAUAUGCCCUGGCCGACAAGUGUGCACGCGCUAAGGAAGGGAGGAAACUCCCCGGAGAAAAUAUAGGAGCAGGAGGAUCUGAUAGUGAGGAGACUGCCCCGACAAGGAAGAACCGGAGGCGGAACAACAGGAAGAAGAAAGGCAAAGAUGUGCUAGUUGUUGAGCAGUCCGGCAAGAAAGCCGAAGCUGGUAGCUCCGGCAAGGAGGUUGCCGCAGCUGUGGCGGUCGCCGACAAGCAGGACAACACCAACAAGCAGUAUUGCAACAUCCACCGCACCAAGAGCCAUGACCUCCAGAGCUGCAAGAAGGUCGAGCAGCUUGUUGAGCAGCAAAAGGCUGAAUACGAGCGGCGCGACAAGGAGAAAGCCCAGGAAGGUGCUGGAGGAGCUGGCAAGAAACGUCCCGGCCGAGGAGGACGCCGCGGCAAGGCCAAGCAGCGGCAAGGAGACAGACCUCCCCGUGGCUGCGACAAGGAUGAAGAUGACGAUGACGAUGAAGAUAUGGAUGAAGAUGAGACCGAUGAGCAGGAGUUCCAGAAAGCCACGGAGGUCCUGUGCGUUGACGGUGGUGCUUCUCUGCAUACUUCACACCGCCAGCUCAAGCAGUGGGUGCGGGAAGUCAAUGCAGCAGAACCACCCAUCGAGUCACACAAGCCUCUGAAAUGGUCCAACACGCCUAUCAUCUUUGAUAUUGAGGACCACCCUGAUCGCAUAACUGCGGUCGGGUGCUUGCCGAUGUUGGUUUCACCAACUAUCCGCAACCUCAAGGUCACUAAGAUGCUAGUAGACGGCGGGGCCGGCUUGAACUUGAUCUCCUCCGCGGUACUCCAGAAGCUUCAGAUCCCUGAUGGCGAGCUCGAAGAGACCGACACAUUUCAAGGAAUCAAUCCGGGAAGGAGCAAGCCGAAGGGAAAGAUCACAUUGUCGGUAACAUUUGGCAGCGAGUUGAACUUCAGGACUGAGAGGGUCACUUUUGACGUUGCUGACUUCCCAUUGCCUUACAAUGGGAUACUUGGCCGUCCAGCACUCGCCAAGUUCAUGGCAGCCUCUCACUAUGCAUACAAUGUACUGAAGAUGCCAGGCCCGAUAAGUGUCAUCUCUGUCCCUGGCGACAAGAAGGAUGCCCUUAUCUGCGCUGACAAGAUCUACCGGGAAGCAGCAGCCGCAACAGACCGCAAGUCACUUGCCGCUGAAGCUCCCAGGGCGAAGAAGAAGACCAAGUCUGGCAAGAGCUCUGAUGGCCACUCCGGCAAGCGUACCUCUUCGGAGUGCUGCGCUACCGUCGAGGGCGCACCAUCGAGCUCCACCGGCAAGUGUAAGAAGACAAUGGCAGCUCCACCAGAGACCAAGAAGGUGUCUGCCAAGGAGGACGGCACUGGUGGUACCUUCACCAUCAGUGCCACUCUCGACCCUAAAUAGGAAAGCGCGCUCGUUGCUUUCCUGUGGGCGAACGUCGACGUGUUUGCAUGGCAACCGUCUGACAUCCCCGGUGUUCCCAGGAAAGUAAUCGAGCACCAUCUCGCCGUCUGCCCUCAUCCGCGGCCCGUUAAGCAGAAAGUCAGGAAACAGGCAUUGGAGCGCCAAGAAUUCAUUGCAGAAGAGAUCAAGAAAUUGGAAGCAGCAGGCCUUGUCAGAGGAGUGCUCCAUCCUACGUGGUUGGCCAAUCCUGUAGUCGUGCGCAAGGCAAACGGGAAAUGGAGGCUUUGUAUUGACUUUACCGAUGUUAAUAAAGCUUGCCCCAAAGACCCAUUUCCCUUGCCACGCAUCGACCAGAUUGUUGACUCCACGGCCGGAUGUGACUUGCUUUCAUUUCUUGAUGCAUACUCAGGAUAUCAUCAGAUCUUCAUGGCAGAAGAGGAUGAGGAGAAGACCGCAUUCAUUACCCCAUGUGGCACAUAUUGUUUCGUACGGAUGCCUUUCGGUUUGAAGAAUGCUGGUUCAACAUUUGCAAGGGUAGUCCAUGACGCUUUUGAAUCGCAAAUGCACAGAAAUGUGGAAGCCUACAUGGAUGACAUAGUGGUCAAGAGCAAGGACAGAGCGACUCUGAUUCAAGAUUUAGACGAAACCUUUGCAAAUCUGCGCAAGAUCAACCUCAAGCUCAACCCCGAGAAGUGCGUGUUUGGAGUCCCCUCCGGCAAGCUUCUCGGGUUCUUUGUGUCUCAACGCGGAAUUGAGGCCAAUCCCGACAAGAUCAAGGCCAUUGAGCAGAUUGAAGCACCGAAGCGCGUCAAGGAUGUACGAAGACUUGCCGGUUGCGUGGCUGCUCUCAGCAGGUUUAUCUCUAGGUCUGCUGAGCGUGCCCUGCCAUUUUUCAAAAUAUUGAAAAAGGCAGGUCCAAUGAAAUGGACUCCGGAGGCGGAGGCUACGCUGCAGGACUUGAAGAGAUACCUGUCCUCCACUCCAACACUUGUAGCACCUAAACCACAAGAGAAGUUGCUGCUAUAUAUAGCGGCAACCAAUCAAGUGGUUAGUGCUGCGUUAGUGGCGGAGAGGGAGGCGGAUGAUGAGCCAGCAAUCACGGCAGAUGCAUCCAGCGACAAGCAAGGGACUUCACCGGCAAGCUCUGGUCCUGACAAGGAUGGAUCUGCGUAGGAGCAUCAGAAGAUGCAGAAGAGAAUGGUGCAGCGCCCAGUUUACUUUGUCAGUUCCCUUCUGCAGGGGGCUAGGUCAAGGUACUCUGGUGUGCAGAAAUUGCUUUUCGGCCUCCUCAUGGCCUCGAGAAAGCUGCACCAUUACUUCCAAGCACAUGAGAUCACAGUCGUCACUCGUUUUCCGCUGAAGAGGAUACUGCAAAAUCCAGAAGCGAUAGGCAGGAUUGUCGAGUGGGCGCUGGAACUGUCAAGCUUUGGCCUCAAGUUUGAAAGCACUUCAACUAUCCAAAGCAGAGCAUUGGCAGAGUUCAUAGAAGAGUGGACACCAACACAAGAUGAAGAAAUUCCAGAGACGAGCAUCCCCGUCAAGGAAGCAAGCAGAGAGUGGCUGAUGUACUUUGAUGGUGCCUUCUCGCUGCAAGGCGCCGGUGCGGGCGUGCUACUUGUUGCACCCACCAGAGAGCACCUCAAGUACAUAGUCCAGAUGCACUUUCCCAAGGAGCAAGCAAUGAACAACACUGCAGAGUAUGAAGGAUUGCUUGCCGGUCUCAGGAUCGUAGAAGACCUUGGGAUCAAGAAGCUCAUUGUCAGGGGUGACUCACAGCUUGUCGUCCGCCAAGUGAACAAGAACUAUCAGAGUCCGUUGAUGGAAGCAUAUGUUGAUGAAGUGAGGAAGCUAGAAGAGCACUUUGACGGCCUGCAGAUGGAACAUGUUCCAAGAGCUCAGAACGACAUUGCUGAUGGCCUGUCAAAGUGCGCCGCACUGAAGUUACCUGUGGAACCAGGGAUCUUUGUGCUCAAGCUGACUCAACCGUCUGUAACACCAUCAACUGGACAGAGCAAGAAGAGGAAGUUGAUUUAUGGUGACUAUUUUCCGGCAGAGCUCCCCGAAGCCGCCGCCAAAAAGGUCAUCAAAAUCAACACCAAGGGUGCUGAGGAGCAGUCUGCUCCGACAAGCCCUAGGGUUUGUUCCGUUGAAGCAGACGCUCCCGACAAGUUUUGCUCCGGCAAGCUUGCCGGGGAACAUCAAGCUCCGGCUGAGCCGCAGGUUCUUGCCGUAGAAGCGGAUGUUCCCGCAGUAGCAGAUGUGCCUUUGGUCCUUGUUGUCGAGCCGCAAGCUCCAGCAUGGGCACAGCAGAUUGUCCUUUUCCUUCAGACAGGAGAACUUCCCGAAGAACAAGAAGAAGCGGAAAGAGUAGCCCGGCAGUCAAGUAUGUACCAGUUUGUCGACAACACACUGUACAGAAGAAGACUCAACGGUGUGAAAUUGAAGUGUAUUCACCGGGAAGACGAACAAAAACUGUUGGCAGAGAUACAUGGAGGCAUAUGUGGUCACCACAUUGGUGCAAGAGCACUUGCCGGCAAAGCAUUCCGGCAAGGUUUCUUUUGGCCGACAGCCCUCCAGGAUGCAACUGCACAAGUAACCAAGUGUGAAGCGUGCCAGUUCCAUUCCAAACAGAUACACCAGCCAGCUCAAGCUCUCCAGACGAUCCCUUUAUCCUGGCCAUUUUCGGUCUGGGGGCUCGAUAUCCUCGGCCCCUUUCCCCGAGCUGUCGGGGGCUUUGAGUACUUGUACGUUGCAAUCGACAAGUUCACAAAGUGGCCAGAAGUGGAACCAGUGAGGAAGCUGACAGCACAGUCAGCAGUCAAGUUCUUCAGGUCGAUUGUUUGCCGUUUCGGGAUCCCUAACAGAAUCAUCACCGACAACGGCACGCAAUUCACGAGCCGCACCUUCAUGCAAUACGUCCAAGAUCUUGGCAUCAAGGUCUGCUUCGCUUCUAUUGCUCAUCCGAGAAGCAACGGUCAAGCGGAGAGGGCAAAUGCUGAAGUGCUGCGCGGGCUCAAGACCAGGACUUUUGACAGGCUGCGCAAGUGUGGAAGAAACUGGAUCGAGGAGCUGCCGGUGGUUCUUUGGUCGAUCAGGACGAUGCCAAAUCGAGCCACUGGCCAGACACCUUUCACCCUAGUCUAUGGAGCAGAGGCAGUUCUCCCCACGGAACUCGUAUACGGAUCACCUCGAGUGCUCGCUUAUGAUGAGCUUGAGCAAGAGCAGCUGCGACAAGAUGACGCGCUGCUCCUUGAGGAGGACCGUCUUCAGGCUGUUGUACGAGCUGCUCGAUACCAGCAAGCUUUGCGCUGCUACCAUAGCCGCAAAGUUAAUGCCAGAAGCUUCGAGGAAGGCGACCUUGUUCUUCGGCGCGUUCAGUCCGCCAAGAAUUCCAACAAGUUGACGCCGAAGUGGGAAGGCCCUUACCGGGUGAAACGAGACACUAGGCCUGGCGCAGUCCGCCUUGAGACCGAAGAUGGCACUCCGGUGAGCAACUCCUGGAACAUUGAGCAUCUUCAUAAGUUUUACCCGUAGGGCGCGGUUGCCGGAACCCGUUCCAGCAACCACCUUUUGUACAAGUCUUGCCGAUGUUGCAUGUAAUCCUUUGUACAAAGCCGGGCGCAGAUCCCGUGCAUAAGUAAAGCUCAUGUGCUCCGCACAUCUUGUCAAUUUCAUGCUUUCUACCUUAUAUUUGCAUGCAUUAUCUGACACUUUGUGCAGCACAACCCCCGGUAAGCAAUAACGAGCCGGAAGGCACCAUAUCUUUAUUUUCUCUUCUUUCUUUUUCUAAUAAAGGAAAGCAAGGUUCCCUCGCACACAAGUUUGCUGGGGGAAAGGAGAAGAUUAUGAUGUGGACCAGGCAUCGUUCAAGCAAGUUUCGCCUUGCCGGAAAGCAAACGACAGAAAAGCUAAGUUGCCAAAGUUUGAGCAAUCAGUUUUUAAAUUUUUAAGUUAUAUUCCUUGAACGACCGUACUUUGUAUGGAAAACCUGUGCACGGAGGAACCAACUCAUAGCUAGUUGCGCCCUUACUUUGUUUCGAGUCCACUCAACAACUUAAGUGAGCUGCGACUAGUUGCGACAAGGUUUCUUGUCGGUAGCGGCACCGCCAGCAGGCUGCUGACGUCCCGCACUCAGCGCUCGCGGCUAAGAUGCCUGCGCCGGCAAGUUCCCUAAAAGCGUAGGGCAAAAACAUACAAAGGAAGGAAUCAAGUAAAGGGAAUAACAUAGCAAAUCUCUACCCAAAAUAGAGUUAUAUUACAAGAUAGCUUGUCGCAGCUCUAACAGAUUGUUCUCAUAACAUGACCAGCAGCAACAAAAAGAAAAAAAAACGGGCGGCCUAAUCUAUGCGAUCGCCCUCAACCCUCUUGAUCUCGCUCACCUUGUCCACAAUGGGUGCGACAAGGGCCUUGAGCGCAUCCAGAUCAGCAUCCAGCGGCAAGGAUUUGAGGACGUUGGUGAGGUUGAGGCCUGGAUUGCGGAAGGCCACCUUCACCAGCACCUUCUGAAGAACCCCCGCGCAGAUCCUGCGCGACUCGUCAGCCAGCUGCUUUGGGAUCUUCUCCCGGAGUCGCUGGAGGGCCAUCGCCACGCCCUUGAAGAACAAGCUGAGCUUGGCGCUAGGUUGGAGGUGCUCAUCGGAGGAGUACCCGAGAUCCUCCACCCCCAGCUGCGCCAACUCCCCGUCGAUGGCGGCGGCAAUAUUCACCAGACCCUCAGUCUAGUGCUCCACAGUGUCCCUAAAGGCGUCGUGGGCGGCAGCAGCACUCGCCAGCAGCGCCUCGUCGGCCUUGAUCUUCUCCGACAAGGCCACCUCCCGCUCCCUGGCGCCGUCCAGCGUUUGAGUCAAAGUAGCCAACUUCAACUCAAGAUCUGCAUUGGAGUCCUUGGCGGCGCUAAGCUCCUUGCUCCUCUCUGCGAGAAGGCCUUGCAGCUCACCAUGAGCGGCAGCAUCCUUCUCGCGCUCACGCUUGAGAGCGGCAGGCUCCUCGCCGCUCGCCCUGAGAUCGGCUUCCAGCUGCGCCACCUUCAUCUCCAGCUCCUUCUUGGCGGCCUCGGCAGCUGCGGCAGCAUCCUUUGCUUCCUUGAGAGCCCCGCCAAUUGCUUGCUCCCGCGCGGCAAGCUCCUCCUCGUGGCUGUCAAGGUUGACCUUGCGCUGCGCCAACUCUCCUUCCUGCGCAAAUAGGUUUUCGGCGACAAGCCGUUGCUUCUCUUCAACCUCGGCCUUCGCGAGGAGGAAGGCUUUCCGCUCCUCGAGAAGUUGCUCCCGCUCCUCCGCCAGGGACCGGAGAGUUUCCUGCCUCAGACCCCGAAGUUCCUCCGCGCGCUUCUCAAUAUCCACUCCCGCCUUCGCGACAAGCGCCUCUCGGGAUGCUAGCUUGGCUUGUCGGGCGCGGUAGAGCGACAGCACCUUCUGCAGCAGCCGCUCCUCCUCAGACUCGUCGCUGCUGCUGCUUGGCGCGUCGACCAGCGUCAGCCCAGCGGAGGCGAGCACUUCUCCAUCCAAAAUUUCUCCUUCGACCGGCGCCCUGGAGCUUGACGCCCAAGGGAGCUUGAUGAAGAUACCGUCGUCGGCCUUCAAGUAGGCACCGGGCUGGGGCUCUUCGGAGCCUGGCGCUGCAGCAUCGGCGGCGGGAUCAGCGGUUGGCGUAGCGCCUGGCGCUCCUGCGGCCUUGGGGCCGUCAGUGCGAUCGCCGGAUCCCUCGCCCGCUUCUGCGGCGGCAGCCUUGGCGGCCUCCUCGCCGGCAGGAUCAUCGGCACCGGCCUCUUCUUCGGUGGCCGCGGCGUCGUCGUUGUUGCCACACACGUUCUCCUCGCCGGCGGCCUCGGUUUCCAUCGGCUCCGUGGUGGGUGGAUCUGAUGACCGAAGAGGGGAGAAAGGUCAAGCGAGUAUUCAAAAGGGUUACCUGUGCUUGGAUCUGCAGUCGUGGUCUCAACCACCGGAGGAUCACUGGUGCUGCCCCUUGCCGGAGAACUGCCCCUUGCCGGAGAAUUGUCCCUUGCCGGAGAACGCUCCCUUGCCGGGGAAGCCUCCCUUGGCGGUGUAGUCAAAGCAGAUAGCACUUCGGGAGCGGCCUCCGGGUCCUCCUGGUGAGGCUGCUCUGCUCCUACACGAACCAACAGACAGAUAUCAGCAAAAGAAGAGCACCCAUGUGCGCCUGACAGCAUGAAGUAAACCAUAUACUUACGUGGGGGGCUGCGCUGGGGGCUGCUUUGAGGAAUGGUUGCCGGGUCCGACAAGGUGGUCUCGGACAUGUCCUCUACCGUCGUGGUGGGGUCGUCCUCGAUAACGAUCACCGGGGCCUUGGCUCUCUUCGCCGCUCUCUGGGCCAGAGUUCUGGAAAGGAACAGGUUCAGAGUAUAGCAAAUCAGACACAAGACAAGCCAGCAAAGAUUGAAGAACAACAAGAACAGCAAGGGAUCUUACUCUUCUUCUUCCUCGUCGGAGCUGAGAGCGGAGAGAUCGAAGUCCGGCUCGCCUCCGGUGCGACGAGGCGGAGGAGUAGGCUCCCUCGCCCGCUUGGCAGGAGCAGUGGCGGUGGACCAGGAAGACCCCGCUCCAGUUGCCGCAGCGGCGUGAGGCGCUCCCGCGGCAACGGUGCUUGCCGCGGUAGAGCGUGUCGCGCGGCUCGGCGGCUGUUGACCCGUCUGCCGCCCCGCUACGUCCGCGGCCUUGUGGAGACGCCUUCUUGGCGGGGCCGGGGGCUCCGCCUGCGGCAAGCUGUCUAAAGGCUCGGGCCCAACAAGCUCUUCCUCGCCGGGCUCGCUCGGCUCAGCUUCAGGCCCGGCAAGCUCUUCCUCACCGGCAAAGUCCUCUCGCUCGGCAAGGCUUGCCGCCUCUGCUGCCUCUGCCUCCUCCAUGGUGAACCCAAACACGCCUGCGGCAGCGGCUGCUGCCGCCUCUUCCAGCUUGGUGGCGAUGCGCUGCAUCUCCGCAUCGGUGGUGUCGCGGGUGAGGCUCUUCUGCUCAUCGGCGCGGACCGGCACUUCUACCAGGCCAUCGAAGAACUCCUGCACGAUGGUGUCUGCUGGCUCUUGCUAGGUUGGAACGAUUCCGUGAGAGUCACACAACGGCAUCAUUGCACGGAUGCGGUCAAGCGAAGAAUUGUUGCACAGCGGAACGACAUCCCGCGGCAACAUGAACGGAUGCUGGGGAUCGCGCUUGAACAGCUCCAGGAGCAUCGCGUCCAGCUCCAGAACAGUGAAGUUAAAGUUGAGGCCCGGGCGCAGCCUCAUGAUAUCCGCCGAGUUCUGGAACUCCCAGGCGGGUCUCCCCCUCUCCUGCAGGGGGGCGAUGCGGCGGCGAAGGAAAUCUGCGCCAACUGCGCCUACAGUGAGCCCGGCAAGCCUGAGGCAAAGGAUCCGGGUGACGGCGAUCUUCAGCCUGUCGUCUUCCGGGGCCACGUUGCUCCAAUCGUUGCCGCGUACUAUUGGGGCUUGGCGCAGGGCAGUGAAUGGCUGCGGGUUCUCCUCGACAAUCCAGCACCACUCUGCUCUCCAUUCAUCCCACUUGUUGCGGAGCUCUCCCUCCAGAUAGGCUUCCUUCUUGCCGACUCUCGAGAUCCAAGCGAUUCCGCCGGCAAGGGGCUCUCCUCUCUCGACUCGGGGCAUAAAGAAGUGGCGGAAGAGGGCUACGUUUGGAUGGACUCCGACAAAGUUUUCGCACAGAUGUGCGAAAACUGCCAUGGUCAGGACAGCAUUGGGGGUGAAGUCAAGGAGGCGGAACCCGUAGGUGUUCAUGAUGUCACAGAAAAAUUCAGAAUAAGGCGGGCAUAGCCCGCAGUAGAAGAACAGCGCGAAGAAGGGAUACCCGUUUGGAGCCAGUCUCGAAGUGGUAGCCGGGAGUACCUUCGUGCGCGGAUGCGCUCGCGUCUCCGUCGACCAGAAGAAGUAGUAGUACUCCCUCAGCUCCUUUGCGUCAAGCUGAGAGGGGAAGAUGGCCCGCUCCUUUCGCAGCGCCGCGAGCCGCUGCGCCUCGGCCGACUUCACGCCCUUCCCCUUGUCGGAUUUCGGAGCCAUGGCAGAAGUGGUGGGGGAGAUCGACGACGUUGGUGGUGCUGGUGGCGAUGGGGGGCGGAGCGCUGCUCUCUUUCAGCUUCGGGAAGAAGGGGGGAGCGGCGGUGAUUUUUGAGAAUGGAGUAGCAACGGGCGAAGUGGGCGAACUGCCCCUGUUUCCCCUGCUUAUAAAGAGGGAGGGGGCGGACGUUUCGCCCUUCCGAAUAAAGAAACCACCCACGAUCUCUCCCACGAUGCCGCAUUCAACGUGUGCCGUUCGGGGAAGGCACAAUGGAUACGGAGUAAGAUACGGCGUGAGCCAGGCCGCGCGUGCCCGUGCCCUGCUUUGGGCCUGGCCCAACAGCGCUCGGCACCGUGUGUGGCCCAAGCCCGGGGGCUCCUGUCGGUGUACUAGAGUAGGGGUACCCUAGUAUCCCGAACUUGUGCACGGGCAGUUGCAGCACCCCGCGGCAAGGCUUGCCGGGCAACCGCCAAGGUCCUCCAUGGUUCCCUUGGAGCCAUUCAAGAACAAAGUAUUUAAGCCAAGGAGACAAGGCCCCGGCAAGAGGAGCUUGCCGGGAAGGCCAACCAAGGCAUUUCGAGGAACUUGCCGCGACGCGCCACGCGUCCCGGCAAGGCCUGGUGAGCGACAAGCUUCCGGACGCGACAAGACAACAGCCGCGGCAAGGCGCUUGCCGCGGCAGGCUACCACUCUGUACCCACGCUCCAGCACAUCCACCAACGUGUCGCUCUGGGGGCCUUUCCAGGCGCGCGUGGCGGGAGGCUGUGCAGCCAGCGGUGCGCGGUGGCAUGCGAAGCUGACAAGACUGCCAUCGUGGCGAGCGGUGGCGCCCCUGACGGUCCCUUUUUACACUGUUUGGGCGACGUAGACGGGCAUUUAAUGCCUUUGUCCCCUGCCGUCAGGGUUAGGUAGGAUGCACUGUGCAGGUGGUUGUACCAACCGCAACCCCUUUUCCAUUUUUACCCUUCUCUGCAUUGCCACCUAUCGGUGACCCCUUGAACAUAUAAAAGGAGGCCCAUGCGCAACGUAGGGGGGUUCGCUUCAGUCGGGAACCAGAGAACACUCACGCUCGGUCUCGUGUGUACUGUAGCACUCAGCGCACCCGAGCAAGAACUCAAUACGAUCAUACAAGCAGCAGUAGGAGUAUUAUCUCUCCGGAGAGCUCCGAAGCUGGGUAAACUGCUCGUGUGCUUCGCCUCGAUCCGCUCUUCGUGCGAUCUCCGCCCCCCCCGCCGAACUGAAAGGGGCUCGGUCCGCCGGCCCCAUAGGUGUUCAUGGAUCAGCUUCCCCGACACAUCCCAUUAUGACAUCAUUUUGCAUCGUGGUUGCAUUGCUCAUAUUUAUAAAACAUUUGUGUACACAAUGAUUGCUUUUCCUCCCAUGAAUGCUUUGCAUCUCUUUCUAGAUCAUCUUGAUAAGCUUCAUGCACUUUGUCACGACCAAUCUUGCCGCACAGACUCAUUCUUACAUGAUGGACACUUUGUGUGUGCUAACCAUUGCAUUUCCGAGUGUUGCUUGUGUUUGCUCUUUUUGCAUGUCUAUCGUUUCGGCGACACCUUGGACUACUUGGAGUGCACCAUGUCUUCAACUUCAUCCAACUACAAGUCCGUCCACGACAACCGUUUCCAUGGUGAUGAGGAUCACGAUCCGAGGUCGGAUCUUUCACAAGGGGGGGGGGAGAUGAUGCGGAGCAUCCCACGUUCAUCCCCAUGUACACUCCGACUACUCUCCAAGCCCCAAGAGGACAUAUGAUGAGACCUCGAAGAUACACCUUUGGACACAAGGUGAACUCGCUCCUCUCCGAACCUUCACUUUCCACAUGUGAGACAUGGCUACUACCUCAAACGUGUGUGCUAUGCAUGUCCAGGAACCAAGAGGAAGGCCAUGGAACAACUACGAGCAUUGGACAAGACGGCGAGGACACCAAGCGCAUGGAAGUGAAGAAGGAAGAGAACCUGGCCGCUCCAGAACGAGCGGUACUACCGCCCACUCCAGGCGGUACUACCGCUGAAGCCACCGAAGCGGAACAACCGGCUGACUACCGCCCAACAACCGGUCCACCUUCUGUGAUCGAGCAGAGCAAGGCCGGUGCUGCACCGGUUUUACCGGUUUCUGCCAUAAGACCAGAACAACCGCCCCGAUGACCGGAACAACCGCUGCCCCUUCGGCAUACACCUCCAGAAGCCAGGGCUUGGGCUUCGAGCGGAACUACCGCCCCGUCUGACCGGUACUUCCGCCCCAAACGAGUUACCAGCGGUACAACCGGCCACAUGUCCGGUACAACCGGCCUGUCUGCGCACAGUGUAUUGGGCCGAGCCCGUGUACCCCUUCGCCCUCACUUACCCCUUCGUGGCUCUAGACUAUAUAUACUCCUCCACCUCCUCCUAGUUAGGUUUAUCAUUGGAUUAGCUCAUAUUUGUGUGAGAGCCUUUGCUCAUCCACUUGGAUACUUCUCCUCGGAGUUCACGACCUCUUCGGAGAAGAUCCCCCAAGCGGAUUCAAGACCCCUUUCUAGGGAAGAACAUCAAGGCCUCCUCGCGGAGAAGAACGGUUCCUUUGUAUCCUUACCUUUGUUGAUCUUGAACCU